GCAUGAGUGCUACCUCCUUGUUUGGCAUUGUUUCCACGUUACAAAAUGUCACUAAGUUAUCCAGGAUUUCAGAUGAACAAUUUUGAAAACUCAUGUUAAUCUAAUCUCAUGUAAAACAUGGUACAAGAAUAUUCUUAAAAAAGAAGCUUGAAUAACCAGCACUGUGUGAGCCAUGCUGUCUUCCUAGUCACUUGAAAUAACAACAGACAUCUUCCAUGACGUCUUCCCGCCAAAAGCUAUACCUAAACUCUUCCACAAAAAUCUACUAUAUCUUUUUCAUUUUUUCUGAUGAUUUAGGGAACUGUUUCAUGUUUUAAUAAUGAGGACGCUGCUGGUGAACCAAGCAGCACAAACAACCCAAGAGAAGUAUUCUAACUUUUGGUACUCUUGGAGAACACCAUCCGAAAAAAGAGUAACAGUAGUCAACGCCAUGAUCUGCAUUAUUCCCAUGUGUGUAAAAGAAACCCACUAAAUCGUCAGAACAUUUCUUACCUUGGAAAGCAGCAAAUGGUAAAUCAGAAAAUAAUUGAGCAAUACCUUGGCUGCAGCAUUGGUCAGGACACAUUGGUUCAUUCAUAUUCCAGUUGCUGGUGGAUGAACGCAACAACUUAAUCGCAGUGUUUCCCGUGAGUAUAGCGGUAAAUAGAAGUUUUCCUGGAGCCACAUGUUUACCAACAGCUUUUACCGACACGUAACGAUUGUUUCUGAAGAGUUUCACCAAAGAAUCCGCUGGCCUUGGUGAUGCAUGAGAAGAGUGUCAUUGCCGUCCAAAGUGUAGGUCUCUGAAGCGCAUUUGAGUCCAGUAUCCAUGAUGAUCCAGUACCUUCUGUUUUUACUGUGUUCGUACCAUUUUCCAGCAUACUUUCAAAAUUGAGAAUCACAGACACCGUCCCAGCGUCAACGUCUGGCUAUUGACGAAGCCAAUCGUCAUCGAAGCCAACAUUAGAACAAUAACAGGAUGCAUUUGACUGUUUUUAAACUCGGACUUGACUGAAUCGACAAAACAGAAUUCAAGGUUUG
This is a long non-coding RNA of Daphnia carinata, 1020 nucleotides long. RefSeq lists it as uncharacterized. The record is from RefSeq and is a predicted model, not a curated record. The transcript is spliced from 6 exons. Lineage: Eukaryota; Metazoa; Arthropoda; Branchiopoda; Diplostraca; Daphniidae.